GGUUUCAGUGCUCAGCCUGUGGUACGGCGUGUGACAAAGAACCAAGCUGUACAACAGCAGCUGACAUCAGCCACCUCACUAAGUCAAAACCAGGAGACUCGAGCUAUCAGUGAAGCCAGCAAUGCCAUCUUUGUUCAGAGUCCAAUUAUCAAUUACAAUGGUUGUUCGGAUUCAAUGAAUGCUUCUGGUACUUAAUAUUUUAAAAUAUACAGCUGGUGGCCCAGGCCUGGAAUCCCAGUACUUGGGAAACUGAAGCAGAAGGGGGAUCAAGAGUUUGAGGCCAGCUUGGGCAACAAAGUGAGAGCCUGUCUGAGAAAGAAAUACAGCAAGGAGAACUAAAGAAUACAGGGAACAAAUUCUUUGGUUGUAAUUUCAUAUGAAUUGAGUGAGACCCAUGAAGUCCAUCUACUCUGACACCAUGGCCUGUGAAAUCGCUCUUCAUACAGAAGAGGGAAUGAUGCCGUCCAGCAUUCACUUUUGUGUGCUGGGAGAAACCGAGGAAACCAGAGCGAGAUAGAACACUGCGCCCUGUGUUGUGCCUCAGGAUGUUGUAUCAGAACUCUUUCUGAUGAUGGAUUUCUUUUUUUUCUGAGUGAAUCAGAGAAUUGACUAGAGUCUACAUUAUAUUUAAAAAAUUAAGCUUUAUGUGAACAGGCAAGGGCAUGUGGAUAGGUGUGGAAUUAUUCAUGAAGCUAAAAGGCUAAAGAAACACUGCCUUCUCCCUUUCUGGAAGGACUGAUAUGAUGGCCCAUUCCUGCAGUCCAGGUGGUUUCUUGCUUGCAGUUGCCCUUUCACAGCCACAAAUAUGAGAAGUGAUUACUUGACAAAACAUUUUUAUGCUAUUUUUAAAAUGAGAAAAUUGACUUAUGUGAAUAUUCGAUCCAAACUUUGAUUUUGAGACAACAAAAUGUGUAUCGUUCUAAAUGUCCCAGACACUCCUAGUAUUGACUUCUACCAAUAAAUGGCACUAAAACGAUUUGGAGCAGAGCUGACUGAUUUGUAUACAUUCAUCAUCCUCAUUGAGAUCUUCUACUGCCUCUUUUAAAAUCUGUUGUGGGCGGGGGAUUUAGCUCAGUGGUUCUGCCACCUGCCUUGCAAGCGCAAAGUCCCAAGUUCGAUCCCCAGUACCAAAAAAAAAAAAAAAAAAGAAGUAUGAUAAAAAAUGAAAGGAGCUCCAGUCUUUGCCUUCACCUCGGAUGUCAUCUCCGGGCUUCCGGUGCAGACUCUUCAGCUUCCAGCAUAGAUCCUUCACCCUUCCAUCACAGACCCAUUGGCCUCCUGAUACCGACUCGCAUGAGACCCUGCAGCGAGCUCUAGACCUUGGACUGAAUACUUCAGUCUCCAGUGUGCAAACAGACCCUCUGCAGUCUUCCACACCCAGCUCUGUGGGUGGCCAUUGUGGGAAACUGCAUUAAGGAAUUAUCUAUGGUCCCACGAAGAGGCUGUGAAAGACCCACAGCUGGAACUCAAAUGGGCUACAUUUCAGGAGGGGCAGAAGUAGUCCCAAGGAAUCUGUUCCCUGACACCUACAUAACCACCAAGGAGCACAUGCAGCUAGAGUGAAAAUCAGCAGUGAGAAACAGCCUUUCUUUGAUCUGGAAUUAUGUGGAACUAUGCAGACAUGU
This is a long non-coding RNA of Heterocephalus glaber (naked mole-rat), 1625 nucleotides long. NCBI's taxonomy places the organism in Eukaryota, Metazoa, Chordata, Mammalia, Rodentia, Bathyergidae. The record is from Ensembl.